UACAGAGGGUGCGAGCGUUGUCCGGAAUCACUGGGCGUAAAGGGCGCGUAGGUGGCGCCCCAAGUCCGUGGUGAAAGCUCGAUGCUCAACAUCGAGUCGGCCACGGAAACUGGGGGGCUCGAGCACUGUAGAGGCAGAUGGAAUUCCGGGUGUAGCGGUGGAAUGCGUAGAGAUCCGGAAGAACACCGGUGGCGAAGGCGGUCUGCUGGGCAGUAGCUGACACUGAGGCGCGACAGCGUGGGGGAGCAAACAGG
This 254-nucleotide ribosomal RNA is filed under the name uncultured bacterium. RNAcentral's name for it is "partial 16S ribosomal RNA". It matches the Rfam family "Bacterial small subunit ribosomal RNA", at positions 524 to 776 of the family's 1533-position model. The record is from RNAcentral.